RNAcentral lists this ribosomal RNA (1527 nucleotides) under Salmonella enterica. RNAcentral describes it as "partial 23S ribosomal RNA". It matches the Rfam family "Bacterial large subunit ribosomal RNA", at positions 1292 to 2802 of the family's 2925-position model. Lineage: Bacteria; Pseudomonadati; Pseudomonadota; Gammaproteobacteria; Enterobacterales; Enterobacteriaceae. RNAcentral also lists the same sequence under 1 other name. The record is from RNAcentral.
GAAUGCUGACAUAAGUAACGAUAAAGCGGGUGAAAAGCCCGCUCGCCGGAAGACCAAGGGUUCCUGUCCAACGUUAAUCGGGGCAGGGUGAGUCGACCCCUAAGGCGAGGCCGAAAGGCGUAGUCGAUGGGAAACGGGUUAAUAUUCCCGUACUUGGUGUUACUGCGAAGGGGGGACGGAGAAGGCUAUGUUGGCCGGGCGACGGUUGUCCCGGUUUAAGCGUGUAGGUGUGUGUUCCAGGUAAAUCCGGUUCACUUUAACACUGAGGCGUGAUGACGAGGCACUACGGUGCUGAAGCAACAAAUGCCCUGCUUCCAGGAAAAGCCUCUAAGCAUCAGGUAACAUCAAAUCGUACCCCAAACCGACACAGGUGGUCAGGUAGAGAAUACCAAGGCGCUUGAGAGAACUCGGGUGAAGGAACUAGGCAAAAUGGUGCCGUAACUUCGGGAGAAGGCACGCUGACACGUAGGUGAAGUGAUUUACUCAUGGAGCUGAAGUCAGUCGAAGAUACCAGCUGGCUGCAACUGUUUAUUAAAAACACAGCACUGUGCAAACACGAAAGUGGACGUAUACGGUGUGACGCCUGCCCGGUGCCGGAAGGUUAAUUGAUGGGGUCAGCGCAAGCGAAGCUCCUGAUCGAAGCCCCGGUAAACGGCGGCCGUAACUAUAACGGUCCUAAGGUAGCGAAAUUCCUUGUCGGGUAAGUUCCGACCUGCACGAAUGGCGUAAUGAUGGCCAGGCUGUCUCCACCCGAGACUCAGUGAAAUUGAACUCGCUGUGAAGAUGCAGUGUACCCGCGGCAAGACGGAAAGACCCCGUGAACCUUUACUAUAGCUUGACACUGAACAUUGAGCCUUGAUGUGUAGGAUAGGUGGGAGGCUUUGAAGUGUGGACGCCAGUCUGCAUGGAGCCAACCUUGAAAUACCACCCUUUAAUGUUUGAUGUUCUAACGUGGACCCGUGAUCCGGGUUGCGGACAGUGUCUGGUGGGUAGUUUGACUGGGGCGGUCUCCUCCUAAAGAGUAACGGAGGAGCACGAAGGUUGGCUAAUCCUGGUCGGACAUCAGGAGGUUAGUGCAAUGGCAUAAGCCAGCUUGACUGCGAGCGUGACGGCGCGAGCAGGUGCGAAAGCAGGUCAUAGUGAUCCGGUGGUUCUGAAUGGAAGGGCCAUCGCUCAACGGAUAAAAGGUACUCCGGGGAUAACAGGCUGAUACCGCCCAAGAGUUCAUAUCGACGGCGGUGUUUGGCACCUCGAUGUCGGCUCAUCACAUCCUGGGGCUGAAGUAGGUCCCAAGGGUAUGGCUGUUCGCCAUUUAAAGUGGUACGCGAGCUGGGUUUAGAACGUCGUGAGACAGUUCGGUCCCUAUCUGCCGUGGGCGCUGGAGAACUGAGGGGGGCUGCUCCUAGUACGAGAGGACCGGAGUGGACGCAUCACUGGUGUUCGGGUUGUCAUGCCAAUGGCACUGCCCGGUAGCUAAAUGCGGAAGAGAUAAGUGCUGAAAGCAUCUAAGCACGAAACUUGCCCCGA